AUUGAACGCUGGCGGCAGGCCUAACACAUGCAAGUCGAACGAGUGGUGGACGGGUGCGUAAUGUCUGGGAAACUGCCUGAUGGAGGGGGAUAACUACUGGAAACGGUAGCUAAUACCGCAUACCAUCAGAUGUGCUCCGAUGGGGUUAGUGUGUUGGUGGGGUAACGGCUCACCAAGGCGACGAUCCCUAGCUGGUCUGCGAGGAUGAACAGCAACACUGGAACUCAGACACGGUUCAGACUCCUACUGGAGGCAUCAGUGGGGCAUAUUGCACAAUGGGCGCAAGCCUGAUGCAGCCAUGCCGCGUGUAUGAAGAAGGCCUUCGGGUUGUAAAGUACUUUCAGCGGGGAGGCGUUACCCGCAGAAGAAGCACCGGCUAACUCCGUGCCAGCCGCCGCGGUAAUAC
Molecule: ribosomal RNA, 406 nt
Filed under: uncultured bacterium
Lineage: Bacteria
Description: partial 16S ribosomal RNA
Rfam family: Bacterial small subunit ribosomal RNA
Source: RNAcentral